Molecule: ribosomal RNA, 500 nt
Filed under: uncultured bacterium
Lineage: Bacteria
Description: partial 16S ribosomal RNA
Rfam family: Bacterial small subunit ribosomal RNA
Source: RNAcentral
AUUGAACGCUGGCGGAAUGCUUUACACAUGCAAGUCGAACGGCAGCACGGACUUCGGUCUGGUGGCGAGUGGCGAACGGGUGAGUAAUACAUCGGAACGUGCCCAGUCGUGGGGGAUAACGUAGCGAAAGCUACGCUAAUACUGCAUACGAUCUAAGGAUGAAAGCGGGGGAUCGCAAGACCUCGCGCGAUUGGAGCGGCCGAUGGCAGAUUAGGUAGUUGGUAGGGUAAAGGCCUACCAAGCCGACGAUCUGUAGCUGGUCUGAGAGUACGACCAGCCACACUGGGACUUGGCCACGGCCCAGACUCCUACUGGAGGCAGCAGUGGGGAAUUUUGUACAAUGGACGCAAGUCUGAUCCAGCCAUUCCGCGUGCAGGAUGAAGGCCCUCGGGUUGUAAACUGCUUUUGUACAGAACGAAAAGGCUCUGGUUAAUACCUGGAGCUCAUGACGGUACUGUAAGAAUAAGCACCGGCUAACUACGUGCCAGCAGCCGCCGUAA